CGGACGGGCUAUUCUCCGGAAAAUUAUGAAGAUUAAUAUGAUCUAUAAAAGCUUUGUAAAAGCGAAGAGGAAAGCUGCUCAAGUACAAACAGGAGGAGGCAUUUCACGC
This is a long non-coding RNA of Pogonomyrmex barbatus (red harvester ant), 109 nucleotides long. The record is from RefSeq and is a predicted model, not a curated record. Lineage: Eukaryota; Metazoa; Arthropoda; Insecta; Hymenoptera; Formicidae.